CGACCUCACCGCCGGCCGUCCCCCUCGCCCCCUCCCACCUUACAGCUUCGGAGGCUGGCGGAUCCGCCGCAUCCCCCACACACCCAUCCCUCUCGCGUCCCAUCCCUCUUUCCUCACGCGGCUCCUCGUUGCGCCAGCUGCGGUGGCCGAUUCAGGCGACAUCCGGUGAGACCCACGACCAUGAAGCACAGCUCAAGGUCCCCUCACACCGUGGCGCUUUCCCAUCCGGCUAGAUCCGGUGCUCGCGGCCACAAAGCCCACCCGCGACCCUCCCCCCAUGGCUAGGGUUUUGGGCGUCGGCUCCAGCGCCGGAGGCCAUGUCGUUCUCAUCUCGUCCGGGAGAAAUCGCUAGUGGACAGCCUUGCUGCUGCUCGGGACAAAGCAGCCAUGGAGCUUCCUCCUCCUCGUCCUCCUCUGGCUUCAUCAGAAUUGGAAGUCCAGUGACGACAGUUUAAAGCAGAUGGGGAGCAACGAGGCUACCGCGCAGCUGUACGGCGGCCUGGUAGGGA
Molecule: long non-coding RNA, 509 nt
Organism: Triticum dicoccoides
Lineage: Eukaryota; Viridiplantae; Streptophyta; Magnoliopsida; Poales; Poaceae
Exons: 3
Source: RefSeq, a predicted model, not a curated record